GUCAGUUGUCAGUACACUGUAUAAUGAACACCCCUUUGUGUCAAAACCGGAUUUAACUUGAGUGUGAAUAGUCGACUGUUUCAUGUUCUUUGUAUCAAUACCAUCUGUGUAUCUGUAUUAUAAGUAUACCAGUCAACAAACAAGGUGCGCGCUUCCGCAUAUGGGUAUUCGGACGUUCAAAAAAUUGACCUACGGUUUAGCGUUCUCGCCGUCGAACGCAUUAAGCAAUAUAACUCAAUUUUUUUUCACUAUUUCUUUACUUGCAAAAAAUACUAGUGGCUUAUAACUUACCUUGCAUUCUUUUUUUCUCGCAUUUUGCGAGUGUGCGAGUGUUAAUUUCGAGCCCUGUGUAUAUGCGUGGAUUACGCUGGAUUUAAACGCCUCUUGCCUACGAUGCGUCCCCUUCAAGUGUAAACAACAGUUGCGGCUACAUUGAAGUUCAAACACCCUCUCUAUUGUUUUAUGGAAGAAAUGUGACAAUAACAUUCAAGCCAAUUGACGACAAGAACGCUUCUGCUCAAUUAAUAGAUUCUUACAACCGAAAUGUAACAUAUAAACAUCACCAUCAUGAUAAUGAAAGUAACGUCUUUACAUUUAUACUGCCCCAGAACAGUACAGCUAAACGUAUCCAAGAUUAUUUGGUAAUAUAUGACGAGUGUGGUUCUGGUGUUGUUCGUUUAGAAUUGCAAGAUCCCCCAACACUAGGACCACGGAAGAAUAUCGAAGGUUGCCAUGGUUGUUUAAUAGCAUCAAUCGGUGAAAAGACAGAUGCCUUUAAAAACGAUGAACCAGUGAUCAGUUGUUCAUUGUCGAAACCUAUUUCAUGGACGGUAUUUAUAACGAUUAAUAAUAAAACACUUCGAGCGCUCAGCUUUUCAAAAGGCAAAUUCACCGUUCACCAUACAGUUCAGGCCGUUGAUCAUAUGACCACUGUUGAGUGCUCUAUGACUAUCGGAGACCUAACGUUGGUUGAUACGGCAAUUCUUUAUGCUCAAGAUACGCCAAGCGUUCAGUUUAACACGCCGAACCAUACAUUCGUUCCCAAAGGUUCCUCAAACGAGAUUACGUGUCUUGUGGACAGUAGAGCACCUCCUAACAUUACGUGGUUCUACAUGCAGGAUGGUGGCCAAAUAACGAAAACGUGUAACGCUGUCACCCAAUGCUCUGUUCUUGUGUCCGGUUUACAAAAAGGAGAGACGCGAACGUAUGUGUGCACGGUGGAGACGGUUGGCAGAAAGCUGAGCAUUUCCUUGCUUGC
Long non-coding RNA from Dreissena polymorpha, 1258 nucleotides. RefSeq lists it as uncharacterized. Lineage: Eukaryota; Metazoa; Mollusca; Bivalvia; Myida; Dreissenidae. The transcript has 4 exons. The record is from RefSeq and is a predicted model, not a curated record.